RNAcentral lists this long non-coding RNA (1150 nucleotides) under Piliocolobus tephrosceles (Ugandan red Colobus). Its description in RNAcentral is "lncRNA (ENSPTEG00000010395.1)". The record is from RNAcentral. Lineage: Eukaryota; Metazoa; Chordata; Mammalia; Primates; Cercopithecidae.
ACAGGCUGUUCUGACCAAGUGUCUGUUACAGCCACUGGAGAAUGGCCGGGACACAGAGGACGCCGUGAUCAACAUUGCAGGGUCCAUGGGGCCUCUCACCAUCCCCGAGCCCUCUCCCAGCCUCUUCACAGAGAUCCAGUAUCUAAGCCAGACUACAGAGGAAGAGGAAGCCCCUUCCCAGGCCCCCGAAGGGGACGUGAUCUCGAUGCCUCCCCUCCACACAUCUGAGGAGGAGCUGGGUUUCUCGAAGUGUGUCUCAGUGUAGGGCAGGAGGCCCUCCUGGCCAGACCAGCCGUGAAGCAGUGUGGCUGGCUGGAUCAGCACUGAUUCCCGAAAGCUUUCCACCUCAGCCUCAGAGUCCAGCUGCCCGGAAUCCAGGCUCUCCCAACCCUCCCCAGGCUCUCCUCCUGCAUGCUCCAGCCUGACCUAGAAGUGUUCAUCAGCCCUGGAGCUCAGAGCGGUGGCCUUGACUUUCCAGCUGGAGACUGGGACAUCCCUGAUAGGUUCACAUCCCUGGGCAGGGCACCAGGAUGCUGACCCUCAGCAGGGCCAGGCAAGGCUCAGUGGAUCUGUUCUGAGUUUCUAUCUGCCACAAACUCUCCUGGGCCUCACGCCCAGUGUCGGACCCUGCCUUCCUCCCGCUCCAGACCCCACCUUGUCCUCCCUCCCUGGUGUCCUCAGACUCAGUCCUGCGGUCUCCUGCAUCAGCUGGUGAUGACGAGGAGCAUGCUGGGGUGAGACUGGGAUUCUGGCUCCUCUUCGAACCCCCUGCAUGCCAGCCCUUCAGGAAACCUGUGAAAAACGUGAUUCCUGCGCCCACCAAGACCCACCAAAACCAUCUCUGGGACUUGGUGCAGGACUCUGAAUUUCUAACAAUGCCCAGUGACUGUCACACUUGAGUUUGAGGACCAGCGGGCCUGAUGAACGCUCGGACCCCUCCAGCUUAGAGUCUGCAUUUGGGCUGUGACGUCCCCCACCUGCCCCCAUAAGAUCUGCUCUGUCCAUGACCCCAUGACCCAGCUGGGCACUCCCCUGAGGCCUGCCUAAGUCCAAGCCUGGGUCAGGAGCACAUUGCAGGGAUAAGCCCAGAACCAGCAAAGAGUAGUUGCCUUUCCAUUCGCCCUCCCUGGCCACGCCUUCUUGCCUUUGG